AAUGGGUAAUGAGAGGCCAUGCCAUUGGUGACCCCCUGUCAUGUAGACAGUUCAUUUUCCUGGCUGUUGCCCAUUCUUCCUCUGAGUCCCCUGCCCGCAUCCUUCAACCCAGAAGCUAUCUACAGGAGUCUCUGUUGUUCUGGGCCAUUAGCAUGGCCCUAUUUUCCUGUGGGUUUUGAUGGCUGGGUUUGUACGUUGCUGCACUUACAAAGACAAAACCUUGUCUUUGGAAAUAUCUACACUAGAAUAUCUGAAGAUAAAUUAUGGAAACAACUGUUGCUAAAGAAAGUUGGUGCAGCUCCUUAUUGGGAAAAGAAGUUGGCCUCUGUGGUUAGACAGUUUGUUGUUGGCUUUUAAUUUUUUAAAUUUUUAUGUACAUUGAUGUUUGCAUAUAUGCCUGUGUGAGGUGUCGGGUCUCCUGGAACUGAAGUUACAGACAGUUGUGAGCUGCCAUGUGUGUGCUAGGAAGUGAACCCAGGUCUUCUGGAAGAGCAACUAGUGAUCUUAAAACUGUUGAGCCAUCUCUCCAGCCCCUGAUUGGACAGUUUGUAAACACAGCUAUUUGUCUCCUCUGACCAGAGGAUGUAAAUAGUUUGCUAAAAAGUUCCCUUGGGGCUGGGGGUGUAGCUCAGUAGGUAAAGUACCUGCCCUAGGUUCAAUUUCUAGUACCACAAAAGUAAAUAAAGAUGCUCUUGAAAUUGCGAUACAGAA
This 711-nucleotide long non-coding RNA is filed under the name Rattus norvegicus (Norway rat). RNAcentral describes it as "long non-coding RNA NONRATT019817". Lineage: Eukaryota; Metazoa; Chordata; Mammalia; Rodentia; Muridae. The record is from RNAcentral.